This 781-nucleotide ribosomal RNA is filed under the name Solobacterium sp. Its description in RNAcentral is "bacterial SSU rRNA". It matches the Rfam family "Bacterial small subunit ribosomal RNA", at positions 1 to 775 of the family's 1533-position model. The record is from RNAcentral. Lineage: Bacteria; Bacillati; Bacillota; Erysipelotrichia; Erysipelotrichales; Erysipelotrichaceae.
CAAAUGAAGAGUUUGAUCCUGGCUCAGGAUGAACGCUGGCGGCGUGCCUAAUACAUGCAAGUCGAACGCUGGAAAUCUAGCUUGCUAGAUUGAAGGAGUGGCGAACGGGUGAGUAAUACAUAAGCAACCUACCCACGAAGACUGGGAUAAUCUCUGGAAACGGGGACUAAUACCGGAUAGGUAAUCGGAAGGCAUCUUCUGAUUAUUAAAGGUUAAAAACACUGGUGGAUGGGCUUAUGGCGCAUUAGUUAGUUGGUGAGGUAACGGCCCACCAAGACGAUGAUGCGUAGCCGGCCUGAGAGGGUGAACGGCCACAUUGGGACUGAGACACGGCCCAGACUCCUACGGGAGGCAGCAGUAGGGAAUUUUCGGCAAUGGGGGAAACCCUGACCGAGCAACGCCGCGUGAGUGAUGACGGCCUUCGGGUUGUAAAGCUCUGUUGUAAGGGAAGAACGGUAGAUAGAGAAUAUCUAAGUGACGGUACCUUACCAGAAAGCCACGGCUAACUACGUGCCAGCAGCCGCGGUAAUACGUAGGUGGCGAGCGUUGUCCGGAUUUAUUGGGCGUAAAGGGAGUGUAGGCGGUCUUUUAAGUCUGAUGUGAAAGCCCACGGCUCAACCGUGGAGGGUCAUUGGAAACUGGGAGACUUGAGUGCAGAAGAGGAGAGCGGAAUUCCAUGUGUAGCGGUGAAAUGCGUAGAUAUAUGGAGGAACACCAGUGGCGAAGGCGGCUCUCUGGUCUGUAACUGACGCUGAGGCUCGAAAGCGUGGGGAGCAAACAG